This is a long non-coding RNA of Trifolium pratense (red clover), 1775 nucleotides long. RefSeq lists it as uncharacterized. The transcript is spliced from 3 exons. The record is from RefSeq and is a predicted model, not a curated record. Lineage: Eukaryota; Viridiplantae; Streptophyta; Magnoliopsida; Fabales; Fabaceae.
AUUUUUAAGAUAUUUGUGACAAUGUAUACAACGGUUUUGAAAACCGUCGCUGUAUGAUUCCUAAAAGAGGGAAUGAAAUUCAGUAUUGGCGGACAUUGAAAUUGGAUUCCCUUUGUUACAAAAAAAAAAAAUUAUUGGGGUCAAAAAGUAUUAAAAAAUAAAAAAUAAAAAAUACCCCUUUCAUGACUAAACCACUCAAAACGCAUAAUCAGUUCCUUCAAAACGCAAAAACGAAGAAACCCUCAUCUUACCGAGUCCUUCAACCACAAACGCAUAAUCGCAACCAGAGAAUCAAAAACGACGAAGCUAUGGAGUUCCAAGUCCUUCAACCACAAACGCCUCCAAAUUCCUGACUCGUUCCAAAUCUUCAUCCUUUUAGUCGCUUCAAAUCCCUAACAUGUUCUAAAUCCGUUAUAGUCGCUCCAAAUCCAAAUCCCUAACUCGUUCAUCGUGAAGAGAAAAAGAGAUGUCAUGAAGUGAUGUGACGGAGGCCGAAUAUGUGGUAGCACUAGGUUCACAGGUCUUUGGUUCUGUUACUUUGUUCCCCUCUUUCUCCGUUUCAACUCUGGAUAUCUUUCAUAGGUCAGAUUCGUGGGGCUUUCACUUUGUUGGUCAAGUUAAGAUGCUUUAUGCUAUUGUUAUCUGUUUCUCAAGUAAUAUUGUUGCUAACAACUUCAGAAUUUGGAGGAAAAAUGAGGCAGAUCUUGUAACAAUGUCUUGUGGAAGUUUCUUGUCACCACUUCAGAAAGGAAGGAGACCGAAAAAUUCUCGCAAUAUCCAACUCACCUUGGAACUCACAAAGUGCCUUAGUGGUAAAAUUUCAAUGUUGAAUCUUUCCAGGUAUGCAAUUUGAAACAAAUGAACAUUCAAUGCUUCUAUUCUUGUGUUGUUUGUUUGCUAUAUUAAAUUAUAGUUCUUUUCACUUUUUUUGUUUGGUUUCUUUGUUAGGAAGUGUUUCAUCAUUUGGUUAAUGGUUUUUCUUGGAUUUAGGAAUGCAAUUGUAAUAAUUGUGUGUAUAUAUGGAAUAUCCAUCCUGCAUCACUUCAUCAGGUUAUGGUAAACAUUGUCAAUAUUUGUCUAUAAUUUCUUGCAUUUUGAACCAGGUUUUCAUUGGGGUGGAAGGGGUAGUGCAAGCUUAAUCAUGUUAUGUUAAUUGUAGUCCUUGUAGAAUGAGGUGAAGACGACUAGUAACUAAAUGUUUGUUGGCUUGUGGUGGAUUUAGUUUCUUUUGUUAGUGAGAAGCCAAAACAAAAAAAAAUUGAAUUCCAAACAAAAAAUACUUUAAUACACUUAAACAAAAAGCAGGCAAAACAAAAAUAUGAGAAACUUGACUAAAACAUCGAGUUUCCCUUUCUUAGAGCAGAAUCUGAUUUAGUGUGCCUCCCUUUUGUUAGUCUGAAAUACUGAGUUUCCCCAAGUUUCUUAAUAGUUUUUUUUGUUGUCUCUUGUUCGAGGGGUUUGGUCAUUAAUGCAAUUCUUUACUUUACUCACACAUAUAGUGAUUGGAUUAACUGAAGAUAGAAGCAUUUCUCAUUUUGCGCAGCCAAUUUCUUAAGUCUGUUGCCAAUUUUUAACUCUGCUGCUGAUUUUGUAACUCUGCUGACGUUUUUGUAAUUGAAUGAGAAGAAUCAAGAGAUGAAUAAGGAUCAUGAAGCAACAUGACAUACUCUGGAUUAGUUUUUCUCCUUUUAGAGUUUCAAGUUAUUUAAUUAAAUUUUUUAUGUAUGGAUGUUGUCACUAUCAAAUUAAUUAUAUGAAUGAGAUUAAAUUAUUUA